Nomascus leucogenys (northern white-cheeked gibbon) is the source of this 1425-nucleotide long non-coding RNA. RefSeq lists it as uncharacterized. The transcript is spliced from 2 exons. The record is from RefSeq and is a predicted model, not a curated record. NCBI's taxonomy places the organism in Eukaryota, Metazoa, Chordata, Mammalia, Primates, Hylobatidae.
CAAAACCGCGCAGCUGACUGUGGGCCCGCCGUGGUGCUGGCCACUCGCCGAGGGCCAGGCCCUGACGCCCUCCCAGGAGCUGCCGACGGGAAGGCUGUGCCAGCUCUGCCAUGACCCACGCCCUGUGUAGAUGGUCUUGUCCUCAGCACAGCCCUGGCGGCCUCUGUCACCUGGGCCACCCUUCUUUAUGUGACCAGUCAGCACACUGAACGGCUGCCAGAAACCCAAACAGACGCUCAGCUCCUGUACCAUCUGGAGCGUCUGGGGAGCGAGCUGCCCUCCAACACCCAAAACAGGAGGCUCCGGGAUGAGGGUUCCUCCUCCCUCCAUGCAGAAGCUCGAAGGCUGGUGCUGUAGCUCUCUGAGGAGUGGCCCCACAGCCAAGGCAGCCCCCACAGUGGACCAGGCAGGAGACACUGGGACCCUCAGCUUGCUCACGAUAUACAAUCUCUUGGGGAUUCCGUGCCACUGACCACCAUGUACGAGGAAGGGAUUCACAGGCAAGGGGGACAGGUGAGGGCAGCCCCCACUUCACUCAAGGACAGGGCAAGGGGGCCCGGUACAGAGAACAGAAAUCUCUUACGACAGCAUCGUGCCCUGGCAGAAGAUUCUGCAUAAUCACCUAGAAAAUUCAAUUCUAACUGAAUUGAUGGAAUAAUAGAUUUGAACCAAAAUAAUUUACCCAGUUCUAUUAAGUACAGAAACUAUACAAUUCACAGCUGGGCAGUCCCAAGCAGUCUGCUUUCCAGCGGGAGGUGGAGGAGGCUGGGGCCUUCCCCUCCCACCAAGGGCUGUGUUGUGCCCGCUGGGGACGAGUCCCACUGAAAUCUCCAGGAGAAGAAUGACCCUGCCCUCCGCAGAGCAGGCUUAGGGGUGGACGGGAGAGCAGUCUGCGUGCCAGGGGUGAGCAGAGCCACAGGCCUCCAUGGAAAUCAUGGAGAAGGGAGGGAAGUGGGCAGGAGAGAGGGCAGCCUCUCCAGCUGAAGGAGCUGCGCUUGUCUCCACAGGGUGGGCGGGCAGCUAGAGUUUCUAUGCCCAACACACACCUUAUCCUCACUCACAGCAGCCCACUGGCACCGAGGGCAUGUUUGCUCACCUCAUGUUUUCUGGCAGAUUUCUCAUGGCCCAGCGCAACAACUGACAUUCCCUACUGAGCAAGCAGCUCCGCCAGUGUGCCCUGCCCCAGCGUCCCGCCGUCUCUCAGCCCCUAGAUGAGCCCAGGGAACCGGCACUCUACUGAGGACAAAGCAGGGCUCACCUAGCAUUGGAAGCUCUUCAAUACUUAAGGUAGCUAAUUCAAUGUUUUUAAAGGCAUUUACAACAGAAAACCAAAGAUUGAACUUCAGCUUCAGAUUUGUAAACCAUUCACAUCUCUGCAACUUAAAACAGUAAAUAAAGAUUAUCAAUGCACAAGCCAAUUGCAAA